AACGUAGGAGGCAAGCGUUAUCCGGAUUCACUGGGUUUAAAGGGUGCGUAGGUGGGCAGGUAAGUCAGUGGUGAAAUCUUUGGGCUUAACCCGAAAACUGCCAUUGAUACUAUUUGUCUUGAAUAUUGUGGAGGUCAGCGGAAUAUGUCAUGUAGCGGUGAAAUGCUUAGAUAUGACAUAGAACACCAAUUGCGAAGGCAGCUGGCUACACAUAUAUUGACACUGAUGCACGAAAGCGUGGGGAUCAAACAGG
RNAcentral lists this ribosomal RNA (253 nucleotides) under uncultured bacterium. Its description in RNAcentral is "partial 16S ribosomal RNA". It matches the Rfam family "Bacterial small subunit ribosomal RNA", at positions 524 to 776 of the family's 1533-position model. The record is from RNAcentral.